Molecule: ribosomal RNA, 467 nt
Filed under: uncultured bacterium
Lineage: Bacteria
Description: bacterial SSU rRNA
Rfam family: Bacterial small subunit ribosomal RNA
Source: RNAcentral
GACGAACGCUGGCGGCAUGCCUAACACAUGCAAGUCUAGGGGUAGCAAUACCACUGGCGCACGGGUGAGUAACACGUAGGUUAUCUGCCCCCAUCACAGACACAACCCCGGGAAACCGGGGCUAAUAUCUGAUGAGGUCGCGAGAUCAAAGCUUCGGCGGAUGGGGAUGAGCCUGCGGCUGAUUAGCUAGUUGGUGAGGUAAUGGCUCACCAAGGCGACGAUCAGUAGCUGGUCUGAGAGGACGAACAGCCACACUGGAACUGAGACACGGUCCAGACUCCUACGGGAGGCAGCAGUGAGGAAUAUUGGUCAAUGGGAGCAAUCCUGAACCAGCAAUGCCGCGUGUGGGAUGACAGGGCUUCGCCUUGUAAACCACUGUCGGACGGGACGAAAGGAGGCCUCGGGGCCUCUGGGACGGUACCGUCAAAGGAAGGGUCGGCUAACUACGUGCCAGCAGCCGCGGUAAU